This 406-nucleotide ribosomal RNA is filed under the name uncultured bacterium. RNAcentral's name for it is "partial 16S ribosomal RNA". It matches the Rfam family "Bacterial small subunit ribosomal RNA", at positions 29 to 526 of the family's 1533-position model. The record is from RNAcentral.
AUUGAACGCUGGCGGCAGGCCUAACACAUGCAAGUCGAGCGCGCGGCGGACGGGUGAGUAAUGUCUGGGAAACUGCCUGAUGGAGGGGGCUAACUACUGGAAACGGUAGCUAAUACCGCAUACCAUCAUAUGUGCCCAGAUGGGAUGAGCGAGGAGGUGGGGUAACGGCUCACCUGGGCGACGAUCCCUAGCUGGUCUGAGAGGAUGACCAGACACACUGGAACUGAGAAACGGCCCAGACUCCUACGGGAGGCAGCAGUGGGGAAUAUGGGACAAGGGGCGAAAGCCUGAUGCAGCCAUGCCGCGUGUAUGAAGAAGGCCUUCGGGUUGUAAAGUACUGUCAGCGGGGAGGCGGUACCCGCAGAAGAAGCAACGGCUAACUACGUGCCAGCAGCCGCGGUAAUAC